Molecule: ribosomal RNA, 254 nt
Filed under: uncultured bacterium
Lineage: Bacteria
Description: partial 16S ribosomal RNA
Rfam family: Bacterial small subunit ribosomal RNA
Source: RNAcentral
UACGUAGGGUGCGAGCGUUAUCCGGAAUUAUUGGGCGUAAAGAGCUCGUAGGCGGUUUGUCGCGUCUGUCGUGAAAGUCCGGGGCUUAACCCCGGAUCUGCGGUGGGUACGGGCAGACUAGAGUGCAGUAGGGGAGACUGGAAUUCCUGGUGUAGCGGUGGAAUGCGCAGAUAUCAGGAGGAACACCGAUGGCAAAGGCAGGUCUCUGGGCUGUAACUGACGCUGGAGGAGCGAAAGCAUGGGGAGCGAACAGG